UGGUGGAGUGAUUUGUCUGGUUGAUUCCGUUAACGAACGAGAUCUCCGCCUACUAAAUAGUCACGCGAAUCCGUUUGGAUUGGCGGGCGACUUCUUAGAGGGACACAUGGCGUUUAGUCAUGGGAAGUUGGAGGCAAUAACA
Molecule: ribosomal RNA, 142 nt
Filed under: uncultured eukaryote
Lineage: Eukaryota
Description: partial 18S ribosomal RNA
Rfam family: Eukaryotic small subunit ribosomal RNA
Source: RNAcentral